UGCAGGACUUGCGGCUCUCUAGGACCGAACUUGCCUACCCCUGGCCUAAACCAAGGGUCUUCUUCAACUGGGGGUCCGCAGCGGCACUGCACUGCAGGGAGUCCGCCAAUUAAUGUUUGAUUAAACAUUAAUCAAACAAAAUUAAAACAUGGGUUAAAAAAAACAUCACAAAGUCCGUUUUAAAUAAGCACCCUGAAACGAAAGCAUGGAAGAGCACCUUCAGUUGAUACUGUAAUGAACUAAUAUUAUUGGCGAAACAGAUUUAGCAAACGCUCCAUAGUGUUUCUGAGUUUGAGAGAUGCAGCCAAUCAGAGAUGUUUGUUGAUCUCUUGAACGCAAUGGCUACUCAGAAGUGUGUACACCUGCAACGCCGAAGUUUUGUUCAGUGUUGAGUUAUGCUCGCAACAGCGAAUCAUUAACAAAGAACGACGAGAUGCGCAGCAGAUCAUGUGCUACACAACUUCGGACCGUACGAAGUCGCCGAGAUGAGGACAUGCAGAGUCCAAUGAUGCUUCUGAGGAAGUGCGUUGCUCUUUGAAGUGAGGAAGGAAGGUCAGCAGUGUGGUUGAAUCAAGCAGGAGUGGUUAACGCACACUGGAUUGAGUCGCAGGGUUCAGUUCUGGAAAGAGUGGCUCAAGCACCUCUUUCAUUGCUGAGAGAAAUAAUGUGCGGUCGGAGAAUAAUCUGACACAGAUAGGGUGAUGAAUUCUGCAGAGUCAGUAAAAGCAAAGUGAUGCUGAAAAACACAUCUGUGCCGAUCUUGGACCACACUUCAAAGGCACAUGCUUCUCCUGAGGCAGCUGUAUGUAGCAAGCACUUUUAAUUUAUUCCUCUGGGCUGAAGUACUUUUUGUUGUUGUCU
Molecule: long non-coding RNA, 861 nt
Filed under: Sinocyclocheilus anshuiensis
Lineage: Eukaryota; Metazoa; Chordata; Actinopteri; Cypriniformes; Cyprinidae
Description: lncRNA (ENSSANG00000005303.1)
Source: RNAcentral